CUGGAGACGCGGUGCGGCUACGUCGGAAGCUCAGCUCAACCCGAGCCGGACGACCGGGCUUCUCGGGCGAGAGUCUUCCGCCCGGGGCCCCGCGGAGCCUGGAGGCGCCGAAGCAAUGCGGCCGGCUCCCCAGCUCUGCGCCGGGACGCGUGGCGCCCGGCUCCCCGCCCGCCGCGGGCUACGCCACUCCCACCUCUACACACGCGACCCCCGCCGCGCGCAGCACGCGCGCGCAGGGCCGGCCGCCGCUCCGGCUGAGUCAACACCCGACUGUGGAAGCUGGCGGCGUAGCCGCUCGGGAGCAAGCCCGCCUCGCCUCGCCUCGCCUCGCCGCGCGCACCCCUAGCGGCCCCCGAAGAAGGCGGCCAACCUUGCCCGCUGCCUUUGGGGCGCCCAGCUGGGUGCCCUCGGGCGCUCCCACGACCUUGGGAAGGAAGACGCGCGGCUCGGCUCUCUCCUCUCUCUUACCCCCUCUUCUCUCUUUCCCCUUCCUUUUUCUUUUUCCUGCCUUUUCUUUUUCUCUUUCUUUAUAACUUCUGUGCCCCGCCCCGACCCCUAGAGAUGAGCCUGCCCUUUCCAACCUUUCCCUUUCCAACCUUUCCAGAGGAAAUUAUUAUCUGCUCUCGAGGCACUAAUCAAGUGACAGCUGCUCUGCCCGAGCUCCCCAUCCCCAUUCCUCCGCGCCCCCCACCCACCAACAAUGCCUUGGGAAACCCUGCUGCCAGUCUAGGCUGCUCAGUGUGACCUUGAUCGUCGCGAAGUGCUCGACAAAUGUCCUCACCUGUCUCCCAGGAAGAUGCGAAGGGAAGAUCACCUUGGGGGCUGUUCAGGUAUGAACAGCCCUCUUAGCCCGGCCCCACUCUCCAAACUGUCCUCACAGUUCCUGACCUGCCCCUCUUCUGGACCCAGAGAUUGUCUUGUCUGUGUGUAGACUGGCUGAUUCAGGAGGUCCCGAGGAGAGGUUGGCUUCUCAGCCUGGUUCAGGACUUGGUGACAUCAUCAAAGACCAAGGCACCUGUGACCCUGCAGUCCUCAUCAUGGUGGCUUUUCUUCCAAUGUUUGGAGCCUCACAGUCACAACAUGGCUGCUGUAUCCACCACAUCGCCUGCUAACACCACUCCAAAGCAGGAAAGGAAAGAAGAGGAUAAAGGGCCUCUCUCUUAUCAAACUUUCUCCAAAGCCCGCAGCAAGAAGGCUCUCCCUUACACCUCACAGGCCAGACUGGGACACGUGACCACCUUUAAAUAGUCCUUGACCAAGAGCGAGGUUGUAACCAUCAACUUAAAACAAUCCUGCUCCAUCUCCUGGGACAUGGCUGCCUGCAAAGCUUGGGGUUCUGUUAUUAAGAGAGAAGCUUAUGGGACUUCCCUGGCAGUCUAAUGGUUAAGACUCCACACGCCUGGUUCAGGGGGCACGGGUUCGAUCCCUCUUUGGGGAACUAAGAUCCUGCAUGGUGCAGCAAAAAAAAAAAAGAGAAAGUGAGGUGUCCGCCACAAGCACCUACGAUGUUCCACACAUGGAAGGAGGUGCUAGAACCACGGAAGUCAGCAAGACGUAACCAUUCAGGCCCUCCUGGAGCUGACCUCACGCCAGCAAGGGGAGCAGACAGUGAGGCAUUCGACAAAGACAGCAAGUUCCUUCUGUCAUUCAUUCAAGUAUUUAUUGAAGACCUACUGUGCGCCAGGCUGGGCUACAGCAGCGACUACAAUGGAUAAGGUUCCUUCCUUCCUGGUGUUUCCAGAUCAGAGCAGGAGGAGAAAAGCAAUAACCAGAUUAGCAAUCCAUCAAUAAACAAGCAAACAAAUCAACGGGAUCCUCUCAACUUUUCCAGAGUUGUUUGGUGGCACCUCCAGGCCUCUGCCUCAGGUCAGUGCCUGCCCAGGUCUCGCUACUCAGAUCAAGAGCUCGGUGCUCAUGUGAUCAGCGGGGACUCCCUUAGUCCAGGGCUGGCCGCCUCCCAGCUAAGCCUGGCACAGAGCAGCUCGCUGAACCAAACGUGACUAAGGAAUCACAAGCAAGGGGAGGUUUCCUUUUUCUCUCUCCCUGUUUUAGCCUGACCUCUCCUCCCUUCUUCCUCAUCACUUCCACCCCUCCCAUCCAGGAUGUUCAGCUAGAAGCCCCUUAGAUCCCUGUCUGUCUCCAGGGCAGGUCCUGACAUCAGCUCUAGCUGGGAAACAUUCACCAAAAGAACGGAGAGAACGGAGGAAGAAAAAAAUUUUUCAGUUUAGCAAGAAAAAAAGUGACGGUAAUAAUAGGGAAAUUCUCUCCUACAGGGACAACUUCAGAAUUUCUGUCACCGUGUACUUCGCGAAUAGUGGGAAAUACCGUUUCGUUUCUGUUGCAUAAGUCUCACGGUUGUGCAGAAGAAGUGAAUGCUGCUUGGAAACAUUUACACAGAGAGUUCCUUAUUCCCUAAUGAGACGCUCUCAGAUUCUGUGGGCUCAGGAUUUGGGCUUCCCUUGUAGCUCAGUUGGUAAAGAAUGUGCCUUCAAUGCAGGAGACCCUGUUCAGUUCCUGGGUCAGGAAGAUCCCCUGGAGAAGAAAAUGGCAAUCCACUCCUGUGUCCUUGCCUGGAGAAUCCCAUGGACAGAGGAACCUGGCAUGAGGUCACAAGAGUCGGACACGACUGAGCAACUAAACAACAGCCAACAGGAUUUGAAGACCACCCCUACUUCCCAAGCUCUGCUUUUUAAAAUGAUAAUAAUUAAGAGAAAGCAAGGGGUGGUUUUUUUAGUUUUAUUUACUCAUUUCUUUCUUUUUGGCUUUGCUGCGUCUUGGUUACUGCACGGGCUUUCCUCUAGUUGUGGCCAGCAGGGGCUACUCUUCCUUGAGGCACAC
Molecule: long non-coding RNA, 2838 nt
Organism: Bos taurus (domestic cattle)
Lineage: Eukaryota; Metazoa; Chordata; Mammalia; Artiodactyla; Bovidae
Source: Ensembl